RNAcentral lists this ribosomal RNA (363 nucleotides) under Cytobacillus oceanisediminis. RNAcentral describes it as "bacterial SSU rRNA". It matches the Rfam family "Bacterial small subunit ribosomal RNA", at positions 567 to 929 of the family's 1533-position model. Lineage: Bacteria; Bacillati; Bacillota; Bacilli; Caryophanales; Bacillaceae. The record is from RNAcentral.
GCGCGCAGGAGGUUCCUUAAGUCUGAUGUGAAAGCCCACGGCUCAACCGUGGAGGGUCAUUGGAAACUGGGGAACUUGAGUGCAGAAGAGAAGAGUGGAAUUCCACGUGUAGCGGUGAAAUGCGUAGAGAUGUGGAGGAACACCAGUGGCGAAGGCGACUCUUUGGUCUGUAACUGACGCUCAGGCGCGAAAGCGUGGGGAGCAAACAGGAUUAGAUACCCUGGUAGUCCACGCCGUAAACGAUGAGUGCUAAGUGUUAGAGGGUUUCCGCCCUUUAUUGCUGCAGCAAACGCAUUAAGCACUCCGCCUGGGGAGUACGGCCGCAAGGCUGAAACUCAAAGGAUUGACGGGGGCCCGCACAAG